This 77-nucleotide transfer RNA is filed under the name Pseudomonadota bacterium. RNAcentral describes it as "tRNA-His". It matches the Rfam family "tRNA". Rfam says of the family: Transfer RNA (tRNA) molecules are approximately 80 nucleotides in length. Their secondary structure includes four short double-helical elements and three loops (D, anti-codon, and T loops). The record is from RNAcentral. Lineage: Bacteria; Pseudomonadati; Pseudomonadota.
GCAGCCGUAGCUCAGCUGGUUAGAGCGUCGGAUUGUGGAUCCGAAGGUCCUCGGUUCAAGUCCGAGCGGCUGUACCA